CAAGGAUCUAAAAGGAAUUUUGGAUGAUUAUGGGGGCGAUUGUGAAAUGGACGGAGAUAGGUAUCGUAUCAUAAGCGGGGAAGGAGGUGAAAUUAUGAUGAAAAUACGAUAUUAUCCCUGGAGUUGGGAGAAUGUUUCGCUCGAGGGCUAAGCUAAGGGCAGGGAGAGAUUUGUCCUCGAAAAAGUAGGCUCAAGCCGUGCUUGCUGUGGUUGGAUAGAAUCAAAAUUGAAAAAAGAAUUGCAAAUUUAUUCGUUGAUUUAGGGACACGAAUCGUGUAGUGUUUG
RNAcentral lists this unclassified non-coding RNA (285 nucleotides) under Hevea brasiliensis (rubber tree). Lineage: Eukaryota; Viridiplantae; Streptophyta; Magnoliopsida; Malpighiales; Euphorbiaceae. The record is from RNAcentral.